AAAAUAUUUCAAUUUUCUUUCACAAUACUAUUAUACUAUAAUUAAAAUUAUUUUUUCUUUAAUAAAUACUAAAACAAAUCACUAUAUAAUUAUUUUUAAUAAAUUAAAUUAUAAAAAUAUAAAAAUAAUAAAUAAAACAUAAUCAAUUUAUAUUGAUUUGCACAAAUUCUUUUCAAUGUAAAUGAAAUACUUUACUUAAUAAGCUUUAAAUUGCAUUCUAGAUACACUUUCCAGUACAUCUACUAUGUUACGACUUAUCUUACUUUAAUAAUAAGAGUGACGGGCGAUGUGUACAUAUUUUAGAGCUAAAAUCAAAUUAUUAAUCUUUAUAAUUUUACUAUCAAAUCCACUUUCAAUAAAUAUUUCAAAUUUAAAUCCAUAUAAAUAAAUUUAUUGUAACCCAUUUUAACUUAAAUAUAAGCUACACCUUGAUCUGAUAUACUUUCUUUUACAAAAUUAUGAAAAUUAACAUUCUUAUAAAAUAUUCUAAUAACGACGGUAUAUAAACUGGAUACAAAUUUAAGUAAGGUCCAUCGUGGAUUAUCGAUUACAAAACAGGUUCCUCUGAAUAGACUAAAAUACCGCCAAAUUUUUUAAGUUUCAAGAACAUAACUA
This 615-nucleotide ribosomal RNA is filed under the name Nanna fasciata. Its description in RNAcentral is "partial 12S ribosomal RNA". Lineage: Eukaryota; Metazoa; Arthropoda; Insecta; Diptera; Scathophagidae. The record is from RNAcentral.